AUGGCUGAAGCUACUGCUCUUCGCUUUGGUCUGAAUCUGGCCCAGUCAUUCGGAUGCUCCAGGUUAAUCGUAAAUUCUGAUAAUUCUGAUGUGAUCGCUGCAAUGCAAGAUGGUGGUACUUUCUCAGGAUUGGCUGCUGCUAUUUUCGACGAUUGUUAUCACAUGGCUCGCGAUUUAUCACAAGUCCAUUAGGAGCACUAUCAUAGAGAAGGAAAUUUUGUAGCGCAUGAACUAGCGAGGAUUGCUAGAUUUUCUCCACCUGGUACUUGGUUUGAUGAGGCACCUAGUGCCAUUGCCUCUAUGCUUGUAAAUGAUGCUACUUUGAUUACCACUUAA
Molecule: ribosomal RNA, 336 nt
Filed under: Triticum aestivum (bread wheat)
Lineage: Eukaryota; Viridiplantae; Streptophyta; Magnoliopsida; Poales; Poaceae
Description: partial small subunit ribosomal RNA
Source: RNAcentral